GACGAACGCUGGCGGCGUGCUUAACACAUGCAAGUCGAACGGAAAGGCCCUGCUUUUGUGGGGUGCUCGAGUGGCGAACGGGUGAGUAACACGUCAGUAACCUGCCCUUGACUUUGGGAUAACUUCAGGAAACUGGGGCUAAUACCGGAUAGGUGCUCCUGCUGCAUGGUGGGGGUUGGAAUGUUUCGGCGGUUGGGGAUGGACUCGCGGCUUAUCAGCUUGUUGGUGGGGUAGUGGCUUACCAAGGCUUUGACGGGUAGCCGGCCUGAGAGGGUGACCGGCCACAUGGGGACUGAGAUACGGCCCAGACUCCUACGGGAGGCAGCAGUGGGGAAUAUUGCACAAUGGGCGGAAGCCUGAUGCAGCAACGCCGCGUGCGGGAUGACGGCCUUCGGGUUGUAAACCGCUUUCGCCUGUGACGAAGCGUGAGUGACGGUAAUGGGUAAAGAAGCACCGGCUAACUACGUG
RNAcentral lists this ribosomal RNA (468 nucleotides) under uncultured bacterium. RNAcentral's name for it is "partial 16S ribosomal RNA". It matches the Rfam family "Bacterial small subunit ribosomal RNA", at positions 28 to 507 of the family's 1533-position model. The record is from RNAcentral.